CCCCGCAUAGUGUACCGGCGCGCACGAUUCUCUGUCGAAGAAUUAGAACGGGUUCGACUCCCGUUGCGGGGAC
RNAcentral lists this transfer RNA (73 nucleotides) under Rhodococcus phage NiceHouse. Its description in RNAcentral is "tRNA-Asp". It matches the Rfam family "tRNA". Rfam says of the family: Transfer RNA (tRNA) molecules are approximately 80 nucleotides in length. Their secondary structure includes four short double-helical elements and three loops (D, anti-codon, and T loops). The record is from RNAcentral. Lineage: Duplodnaviria; Heunggongvirae; Uroviricota; Caudoviricetes.